ACCGAUUGUAUUUAUAGAUAUAUAGUAUUAUAAGAUAGAUGUUUAGAUUAAAUGUAUAUAAUUUUAUGUUUUAAUAGUAUACCUUCAUAUGUAAUUAUUUAAAUUAUUAAUAUUGUUAAAAGUCUCACAUUAAAAAAUUAUGAUUAAUGGUUUACCUUUUUUUCAUAUAUGUUAUAUUUUGAUUUUUUUUAAUCUAUAAAUUAUUAAUAUUGUUAAAAGUCUCACAUUAAAAAAUUAUGAUUAAUGGUUUAACUUUUUUUUUUUGUUA
This 268-nucleotide long non-coding RNA is filed under the name Brassica rapa (field mustard). RNAcentral's name for it is "long non-coding RNA (BRAP_LNC001313)". Lineage: Eukaryota; Viridiplantae; Streptophyta; Magnoliopsida; Brassicales; Brassicaceae. The record is from RNAcentral.